GGUACUAUAGUGUAGUGGUUAUCACUCGGGAUUUUGAUUUCAACAUAUUCCCGGAACCCAGGUUCGAACCCUGGUAGUACCU
This is a non-coding RNA of Trametes versicolor FP-101664 SS1, 82 nucleotides long. The record is from the annotation of a RefSeq genome assembly. NCBI's taxonomy places the organism in Eukaryota, Fungi, Basidiomycota, Agaricomycetes, Polyporales, Polyporaceae.